UGAACCGGUNUCAUGGUGGCCCUAAAUGCAACGAGCUUUUUACAGCACGCAUCUAGUNGUUAGCAGGCCCGGUCUUAACCCUUAAUUUUUCAAGGUUGACCUCGGAUCAGGUAGGAAUACCCGCUGAACUUAAGCAUAUCAAUAAGCGGAGGAAAAGAAACCAACAGGGAUUACCCUAGUAACGGCGAGUGAAGCGGUAACAGCUCAAAUUUGAAAUCUGGCCUUCACGGGUCCGAGUUGUAAUUUGUAGAGGAUGUUUCGGACAAGGCUGUGGUUUAAGUUUCUUGGAACAGAACGUCAUAGAGGGUGAGAGUCCCGUCUAGAACCGAUAGCCGCGUCCAUGUGAAACUCCUUCGACGAGUCGAGUUGUUUGGGAAUGCAGCUCAAAAUGGGUGGUAAAUUUCAUCUAAAGCUAAAUAUUGGCCAGAGACCGAUAGCGCACAAGUAGAGUGAUCGAAAGAUGAAAAGCACUUUGAAAAGAGAGUUAAACAGUAUGUGAAAUUGUUGAAAGGGAAGCGCUUGCAACCAGACUUGCGUGUAACGGUUCCCCCGGUCUUCUGACUGGGCUAUUCUGUUAUAUCCAGGCCAGCAUCGGUUUGGGUGGUCGGUUAAAGGCCCUGGGAAUGUAUCUACCUUCGGGUCGACUUAUAGCUCAGGGCGUAAUGCGGCCUACCUGGACCGAGGAACGCGCUUUUGCUCGGAUGCUGGCGUAAUGGUUGUAAGCGGC
This 727-nucleotide ribosomal RNA is filed under the name uncultured fungus. RNAcentral describes it as "eukaryotic LSU rRNA". The stretch from base 97 to 727 matches the Rfam family "Eukaryotic large subunit ribosomal RNA", at positions 1 to 648 of the family's 3401-position model. The record is from RNAcentral. Lineage: Eukaryota; Fungi.